Molecule: ribosomal RNA, 468 nt
Filed under: uncultured bacterium
Lineage: Bacteria
Description: partial 16S ribosomal RNA
Rfam family: Bacterial small subunit ribosomal RNA
Source: RNAcentral
GACGAACGCUGGCGGCGUGCUUAACACCUGCAAGUCGAACGGAAAGGCCCUGCUUUUGUGGGGUGCUCGAGUGGCGAACGGGUGAGUCACACGUGAGUAACCUGCCCUUGACUUUGGGAUAACUUCAGGAAACUGGGGCUAAUACCGGAUAGGAGCUCCUGCUGCAAGGUGGGGGUUGGAAAGUUUCGGCGGUUGGGGAUGGACUCGCGGCUUAUCACCUUGUUGGUGGGGUAGUGGCUUACCAAGGCUUUGACGGGUAGCCGGCCUGAGAGGGUGACCGGCCACAUUGGGACUGAGAUACGGCCCAGACUCCUACGGGAGGCAGCAGUGGGGAAUAUUGCACAAUGCGCGGGACCCUGAUGCAGCAACGCCGCGUGCGGGAUGACGGCCUUCGGUUUGUAAACCGCUUUCGCCUGUGACGAAGCGUGAGUGACGGUAAUGGGUAAAGAAGCACCGGCUAACUACGUG